Molecule: non-coding RNA, 952 nt
Organism: Salvelinus sp. IW2-2015
Lineage: Eukaryota; Metazoa; Chordata; Actinopteri; Salmoniformes; Salmonidae
Source: RefSeq, a predicted model, not a curated record
UGCACAACAAAAAACUUUUCACGGCAACUGGUUUGAUACAUUCACCAAUGAAGGGAAAUAAUAUACUUACAUACAGUAAUCUUGCUCUGAUUUGUCAUCACGAGGGUCACAGAGAUAAAAUGUAGCAUAGUUUUGUUUGAUAAAAUGUAUUUUUAUUUUCAAAUGUAGGAAAUGGGUUCMAAAGUUUGAACUCCUGCUGUUUCUGUUACAGGCAGUUAGAUUUGGUUGUCAUUUUAGGCGAAAAUUGAAAAAAAGGUUCCGAUCCUUAUUAAACCAGAGCAGGGUCGUUGUUCUGGGCAUGCUGCAGUUGGCCUGUGCGGCGUUGUGUGCGGAUUCAUUGACAAAUUUUUUCCGCAAAAACACCAACCUCAGUGAAACUCGAGCACCUGUGUGGACUUGUUUGGUGAACAAUAUGACUGUUCUUUCAUCUAAACAAUUUAAAUGAUUUGUCAAAUGUAGAGUACAACACUUGAUUUGUUUAAUUUUGUGGUGACUCUUUGCUUCCCAAAGGAAAAACACAGUAUUGGUUUAUCCUGCCUUAGUGUGCUCCUGUGUUUCCAUGGUGAUGGUGUCAGGCUAGGCAUGCCUAACGUUGACCAAUGGCGAGAAUGACAACGAGGUGUUCCACCAUCACAACAACCCUGAAGUGGUAAUACCCUGACCCUAACAGCUCUCACAAACGAUCAACACAACAAUAGUUUAACUCGCACUUCUCUUUAACUCCCCCAUCCCACAGAUAAAAGAACAUGUCGACCUGAAAUGACAUACAUUGCGUUGAAAUGUUGAGGAUGCUUUAUUGCAAGGUUACACAUAACAUUUGUAAUGUAAUCCAUUGCAAGGCUUUACUCCCUUGUUUUGUUCCCAGUAGUUCUUUCCUGAAGUGAUCAGUCUCGUUAAAAUAAACAGUCUUUCUCAAACAGACAUACCUUUGUAUCAAAUAGCCCAAAUAAAA